AGCUUGUCUGAGUGCAGUGGUGUUUACAACUGGUUGAUCACAACUGGUUACAGAUUUCUUUGUUCUUUCUCUACUCUCACUACUUUACUUGACUAACCAAAA
This is an unclassified non-coding RNA of Gorilla gorilla gorilla (western lowland gorilla), 102 nucleotides long. It matches the Rfam family "Y RNA". From Rfam's summary of the family: Y RNAs are components of the Ro ribonucleoprotein particle (Ro RNP), in association with Ro60 and La proteins. NCBI's taxonomy places the organism in Eukaryota, Metazoa, Chordata, Mammalia, Primates, Hominidae. The record is from Ensembl.